GACGAACGCUGGCGGCGUGCCUAAUACAUGCAAGUCGAACGAGAGCGACCGGUGCUUGCACUGGUCAAUCUAGUGGCGAACGGGUGAGUAACACGUGGGUAACCUGCCCAUCAGAGGGGGAUAACAUUCGGAAACGGAUGCUAAAACCGCAUAGGUCUUCGAGCCGCAUGGCUUGAAGAGGAAAAGAGGCGCAAGCUUCUGCUGAUGGAUGGACCCGCGGUGCAUUAGCUAGUUGGUGAGGUAACGGCUCACCAAGGCCGUGAUGCAUAGCCGACCUGAGAGGGUGAUCGGCCACAUUGGGACUGAGACACGGCCCAAACUCCUCGGGAGGCAGCAGUAGGGAAUCUUCCGCAAUGGACGCAAGUCUGACGGAGCAACGCCGCGUGAGUGAAGAAGGUUUUCGGAUCGUAAAACUCUGUUGUUAGAGAAGAACAAGUGCUAGAGUAACUGUUAGCGCC
Molecule: ribosomal RNA, 458 nt
Filed under: Granulicatella adiacens
Lineage: Bacteria; Bacillati; Bacillota; Bacilli; Lactobacillales; Carnobacteriaceae
Description: bacterial SSU rRNA
Rfam family: Bacterial small subunit ribosomal RNA
Source: RNAcentral